Molecule: non-coding RNA, 113 nt
Filed under: Penicillium brasilianum
Lineage: Eukaryota; Fungi; Ascomycota; Eurotiomycetes; Eurotiales; Aspergillaceae
Description: TPP sequence
Rfam family: TPP riboswitch aptamer (THI element)
About the family: Vitamin B(1) in its active form thiamin pyrophosphate (TPP) is an essential coenzyme that is synthesised by coupling of pyrimidine and thiazole moieties in bacteria.
Source: Rfam by way of RNAcentral
AGCACGCAUGACGGGUGUCCGAGGUUUUUACUGCAAAGUAAACCUCGGUCUGAGAAAUACCGUUAGAACUUGAUCUGGACAAUACCAGCGAAAGGACAUGCCUGCCUCAUUUU